CUUAUGAGGAGGAAGCACCUAGAACUGGGAGGUCACAUGUUUGGGCCACGUUGCAUCCUUAUGUCAGUGCCCUGCACGUAAGAAACACACCUGAUGCUUUAAAGUUUCUGGAUCUUACCGGUUGUUGAGGAUCUGCUUCAGACAGCUCCUCUUCUGUCAGUCACCCCGUUGCCCUAAAACUGUCCUAAAUGACUUAAUCUACAGAGCAACAGUCCUCCAGAGAGGCUGGCUCCCCAACUGUGACCUUCUACAACUGGAGCGUCUAGAGAAAUGAACUGGCUUAUGAGACGUGAUUAGACAAAGGGAGAGGCAGCGAGACAAGGCGAGGGUAGGACAUCCAGCGCCAUCAUCAUUAUUCUACUGCAUCCCCCGAGGAGUGAGACAGAGCUGAGGCCGGGGCCGGACCAGGCAGGGGGAGAAAACACUGUAGAACCAGAGCACCAGGACCUGGGAAUGCACACAAGUGAUAUUUGUGCGCUGAGAUCAAAAAGCAUUUACCUUUAGAUGUUUCCCUGAUAUGAAUAUUCAACAUCCUUAUUGAAAUCUAAUUUGGGUCUCCUUGUCUCAGGGGUCUUUUCAUCAGUGCCUGUUGCCUGAGGCCACUGCUGAUUGACAGCCAAACUUUAGUAAAGAGCAAGCGGGAAAAAAGGGGAGAUCUGGUGGUGUUGGAGAUGUGAGUUGUGUGAAGCUGGGGAGAGCUGGA
Sphaeramia orbicularis (orbiculate cardinalfish) is the source of this 703-nucleotide long non-coding RNA. RefSeq lists it as uncharacterized. The transcript has 4 exons. The record is from RefSeq and is a predicted model, not a curated record. Lineage: Eukaryota; Metazoa; Chordata; Actinopteri; Kurtiformes; Apogonidae.